Molecule: transfer RNA, 66 nt
Filed under: Marmota monax (woodchuck)
Lineage: Eukaryota; Metazoa; Chordata; Mammalia; Rodentia; Sciuridae
Description: tRNA.Val
Source: RNAcentral
GGAUUAUAGCUCAGUGGUAGAGCACUUGCCUCACACACGAGGCACUGGGUUCGAUCCUCAGCACCA